Long non-coding RNA from Papilio polytes (common Mormon), 787 nucleotides. RefSeq lists it as uncharacterized. The record is from RefSeq and is a predicted model, not a curated record. Lineage: Eukaryota; Metazoa; Arthropoda; Insecta; Lepidoptera; Papilionidae. The transcript has 3 exons.
UAAAAUAUUUUUUUUAUUUUUCCAUGCGGAUGAAGCCGCAUAGGAACAGCUAAUAUUAAAAUAAAAUCGAUUAUAGCCCAAUACGAUUUAUAACACCAGUAUCAAAAUUUCAGGUAUUUCAUUAAGAAAAUAUUCUUUUAAGGAAAAAGGAAUGUUUGAGGCCGCAUUUGCUUGAAACUCCAACAUUGAAAGGCUUGUAAUAAGAUAUAAAUGCUCUCAUUGUCGAGUUUAAGUAUCCAUCAUUGCAUAUAUUUAGCAUAACAUCACCGAUAUAAAAGUAUCAUAGUUUAAGCAGUAUUAACGCCUUAAUAGGAUCAAAUGUUAUUAGUGACGUAUUUAAUUUUUUGUUACUUCUGCCUACCUCAUGGUGUGUGAACAAAGUUAUUCAGUUUGUGAGUAAAAUAGGAAAUUGGUGUAGUUUUCAUAUAUCUUGGAUGCUCUAAACUCUAUCAGCCUUAAACGCGGUUAAGUUUAACUUCGGAAUAAACUGAGUAUAAGCAAUAUUUGUACCAAUAUAUGGUUAUUUAUUAUACCGCGUUUAUUUGUAAGGCUGUAUAUGAUUUGCUCUGAACACUUUAGGUAACUCUAGUGUGUCUUGAGCAGCCAAGAUAUUUGAAAUGUGUAGUGGAGAAGCAUUUAGAUUUAAUUGUAAGAAUGUCGCUCAGUAAUAGAUGUCUACCAGGUAUAUUGUCAUUACCUUUAAGAUAUGUGAUAUGUCUAUUACUUGCUGCUUGUUUAAAACAUAUGGAAUUAAACAAAAGCCUAUAAUAUGCCCGUCAUGUCAUCU